ACUCGAAGAUCAUACCUAGAGUUGCGGGCUUUGCCUGCUAUCUCUUACCCAUGUCUUUUGAGUACCUUCGUUUCCUCGGCGGGUUCGCCCGCCGAUUGGACAAUUUAAACCAUUUGCAGUUGCAAUCAGCGUCUGAAAAAACUUAAUAGUUACAACUUUCAACAACGGAUCUCUUGGUUCUGGCAUCGAUGAAGAACGCAGCGAAAUGCGAUAAGUAGUGUGAAUUGCAGAAUUCAGUGAAUCAUCGAAUCUUUGAACGCACAUUGCGCCCCUUGGUAUUCCAUGGGGCAUGCCUGUUCGAGCGUCAUUUGUACCUUCAAGCUCUGCUUGGUGUUGGGUGUUUGUCUCGCCUCUGCGCGCAGACUCGCCUCAAAACAAUUGGCAGCCGGCGUAUUGAUUUCGGAGCGCAGUACAUCUCGCGCUUUGCACUCAUAACGACGACGUCCAAAAGUACAUUUUUACACUCUUGACCUCGGAUCAGGUAGGGAUCCCGCUGACUAGCAU
This 504-nucleotide ribosomal RNA is filed under the name Phoma sp. Po75. Its description in RNAcentral is "eukaryotic LSU rRNA". The stretch from base 154 to 307 matches the Rfam family "5.8S ribosomal RNA". Lineage: Eukaryota; Fungi; Ascomycota; Dothideomycetes; Pleosporales; Didymellaceae. The record is from RNAcentral.